UGGGGAAUAUUGCACAAUGGACGGAAGUUUGAUGCAGCGACGCCGCGUGGAGGGUGUAGGCCUUCGGGUUGUGAACUCCUUUUUCUCGCGAAAAAGGCACAGUUUUGGCUGUGUUGAUGGUAGUGGGGGAAGAAGCGCCGGCUAACUACGUGCCAGCAGCCGCGGUAAUACGUAGGGCGCGAGCGUUGUCCGGAUUUAUUGGGCGUAAACAGCUCGUAGGUUGUUCGUCGCGUCUGUCGUGAAAGCCAGCUGCUUAACUGUUGGUCUGCGGGGGGUAAGGGGGGGGUUGAGGGCGGGGGGGGGGACUGGAAUUCCUGGUGUAGCGGUGGAAUGCGCGGAUAUCAGGAGAAACACCGAUGGGGAAGGGAGGUCACUGGGCCGUUACUGACACUGGGGGGCGAAAGCGUGGGGGGGGAACAGG
RNAcentral lists this ribosomal RNA (421 nucleotides) under Fusobacteriota bacterium. Its description in RNAcentral is "Fusobacteria bacterium partial 16S ribosomal RNA". It matches the Rfam family "Bacterial small subunit ribosomal RNA", at positions 355 to 776 of the family's 1533-position model. The record is from RNAcentral. Lineage: Bacteria; Fusobacteriati; Fusobacteriota.